This 20-nucleotide non-coding RNA is filed under the name Arabidopsis thaliana (thale cress). The record is from RNAcentral. Lineage: Eukaryota; Viridiplantae; Streptophyta; Magnoliopsida; Brassicales; Brassicaceae.
UGUGAUCGAGUGGUGGUCAG